UAAAACCAUGCAGUCAAGCCAAAAGAAGCCAGGUGCACAUUUUAAUUAAAAACACAUUUUUCCAAUUACAGUUGAAACCGUGAACCUAAAAUAAAAAGCGAAGCAAAUGUCGUGAGUUCAAGCAAGCUAAUUACAGUAAAUCAAAUGGAAAGUUACUAAAGAUAGAAUCAAAGCUUAAGGCUAACUUUAUAUGUUUGCUUAACGCCAGGCUGCAGCACUGGGGGGUCGAUGGCUUCAUUUUUCUUUUAGCAUUCAGGUCUGGGCUGCUUCCUAAAAUUGACUUAAAGUUGCAUUCAUUGGGAAAUCUGGGUCCUUAAAAUCCGGAUCUGAGAAGGCAGAGAAGGAAAUAGGGAAAAAAUUGCAUGUUUUCUCUUAAGGCACCUGGUGAGUCUUUCCAAUAAAAUAAUCGGAAUUCACUCUGAAGACUGUGGACCUAAGCAGGCCUGAGGGCUCUGACAUAUACCAAAUCCCUGCCCAGGGGAACAGGGGAGAUUAAAAACUUCUGAUUGAGGUGGAGAGGAAAGAGACACAGAGAGAGGGAAGGAGAGACAGAAAGAAAGCUUAUCGUUCACCUUUGUUCUUUUUAAUGCCCCAAGUGAAAGAUCUCCAUAGGCAUGUCUGUGAAUAACAGCAAACACAAGAGCAGCUGCCCACCACUGUGGUCAGAAGAUGGAGUGAGAGAGUGAGGGAGGAGACGAGAACAGGAUUACAUCCUGUGAAAGAGCCAAGCUCAUAUUCUACAUUAAUUGAAUGCCUGGGAGAAAGGAGAGGCAUGAGAGCAAGCCUUUUCAGUGCCAACUGCUUCAAGAGGUACUGCAAUUAACCCUCUGGCCAUCAUAAAGUAAUACCUGGCUUUUGUUGUUUUCCAAUUGCUGGGUUUGGUUGUACACUGUGGAUGUGUGCUUGGGCCGUGGUCAUGUUUCAGCCCCUGGUGUGUAGACCGGAACGGACCGGCUCUCAAAGAAACGGCCUGAUUCCUCCUCUGUUGCUGCUGCUGCUGCUUCCUUACACCUCCCUUAAGCCCGCUCAGGCGGCCAAACCCAAAGGGCCAGGACACACACAUUUGAACUCUAUUCGCAUCGAUGGGGAUAUCUCCUUAGGUGGGCUCUUCCCAGUACACGCCAGAGGGCACGAUGGAAAGCCAUGUGGGGAGCUGAAGAAGGAGAAGGGUAUACAUAGACUGGAGGCCAUGCUCUUUGCCCUUGACCGCAUCAAUAAUGACAAUAAUCUACUGCCCAACAUCACACUGGGAGCACGAAUCCUGGACACCUGCUCAAGGGACACUCACGCCUUGGAGCAGUCUCUCACCUUCGUGCAGGCUCUGAUCGAGAAGGACGGCACAGAUGUCAAAUGUCUCGGUGGGGGGGCGCCCAUUAUCACCAAACCUGAGAGGGUUGUAGGUGUCAUUGGAGCCUCCUCCAGCUCUGUUUCCAUCAUGGUGGCCAAUAUAUUACGCCUGUUUAAGAUACCCCAGGUGAGCUAUGCCUCCACAGCUCCAGAGCUAAGUGACAACACCCGCUAUGACUUCUUCUCCCGAGUGGUGCCUCCUGAUACCUACCAGGCCCAGGCCAUGGUGGAUAUUGUGAAGUAUAUGCGCUGGAACUAUGUUUCCACAGUGGCCUCAGAGGGGAACUAUGGAGAGAGCGGUGUUGAUGCUUUCAUUCAGAAGUCUCGGGAGGAUGGCGGUGUGUGCAUCUCCCAGUCUGUCAAAAUUCCCCGGGAGCCCAAGCAAGGAGAGUUCGACAAGGUCAUCCGGCGACUCAGAGAAAAUCCAAAUGCAAGAGUCGUCAUACUUUUUGCCAAUGAAGAUGAUAUCAGGCGGCUGCUCCAUGCAGCGAAAAAGGCCAACCAGACAGGUCAUUUUAUCUGGGUGGGUUCAGACAGCUGGGGCUCAAAGAUCUCUCCGGUUGUGCAGCAGGAGGAGAUGGCAGAGGGAGCAGUCACCAUCUUGCCCAAGCGUCAGUCCAUCAGAGGGUUUGAUCGUUACUUCAUCAGUCGAACGCUGGAAAACAACAGAAGGAAUAUCUGGUUUGCUGAGUUCUGGGAGAACAACUUCAACUGCAAACUCAGCCGUCAUGCGGUGAAGAAAGGGUCCGGGCUCAAGAAGUGCACAAAUCAGGAGCGAAUCGGGAAGGACUCGCAAUAUGAGCAGGAGGGAAAGGUACAGUUUGUUAUCGAUGCCGUCUAUGCAAUGGCUCAUGCCUUGCACAACAUGCACCAGGAGCUGUGCCCAGGCAAGGUUGGUCUCUGCGCUAAAAUGGACCCCAUAAAUGGCACUCAUCUGCUGAAGCAUAUUCGUCGUCUCAACUUUUCAGGCAUAGCUGGCAACCCAGUGCUCUUCAAUGAAAACGGAGAUGCCCCUGGACGUUAUGAGAUCUACCAAUACCAGAUCAGAAACCGAACAGCUGAGUACAAAAUUAUUGGUCACUGGGCGGAUCAACUCCAUCUGAAUGUUCGUUCAAUGCAGUGGCCCGGUGGUGUCCGUCAGAUCCCUUCCUCAAUCUGCAGCCAGCCCUGUCGGCCUGGUGAGCGCAAGAAGAUUGUGAAGGGCAUCCCUUGCUGUUGGCACUGCGAACGCUGCGAUGGCUAUCAAUACCAGGCAGACACCUACACGUGUAAGAUGUGUCACUUUGAUUUGAGGCCCAAUGAGAAUCACACAGGCUGCGUUCCAAUCCCCAUUGUUAAGCUGGAGUGGAGCUCUCCGUGGGCAGUCAUCCCUGUGUUUGUUGCAGUCAUUGGCAUCAUGGCCACUUUGUUUGUGGUGGUCACAUUCGUUCGCUACAAUGACACUCCAAUUGUGAAAGCAUCAGGCCGGGAGCUAAGCUAUGUCCUGCUAACUGGCAUUUUUCUCUGCUAUGCCACAACGUUCCUGAUGAUCUCUGCUCCUGAUGUCGUAAUCUGCUCCCUUCGUCGGAUCUUCUUGGGUCUGGGGAUGAGCAUUAGUUAUGCUGCUCUGCUCACCAAAACCAAUCGUAUUUACCGCAUCUUCGAGCAGGGUAGUAUGUCUGUGAGCGCGCCAAAGUUCAUUUCUCCAGCCUCACAGCUAGUCAUCACGUUCACCCUGGCCUCGGUGCAGCUGGUCGGGGUGUGCAUCUGGUUUGUUGUGGAUCCCUCCAAAGCUAUUAUUGACUAUGAGGACCAGAGAACCUCUAACCCAGCGCUGGCUCGUGGUGUGCUCAAGUGUGACAUCUCUGACCUGUCCCUCAUCUGCCUGCUUGGCUAUAGUAUGCUGCUCAUGGUCACCUGCACAGUCUAUGCGAUUAAAACCAGAGGGGUGCCGGAGACCUUCAAUGAGGCCAAACCAAUUGGUUUUACUAUGUACACCACCUGCAUUAUUUGGCUAGCAUUCAUCCCAAUCUUCUUUGGCACAUCACAAUCAACAGAAAAGAUGUACAUCCAAACAACCACGCUGACGAUCUCUGUGAGCCUGAGUGCUUCAGUGUCCCUCGGGUUGCUCUACAUGCCCAAGGUCUAUGUGGUUCUUUUCCACCCUGAGCAGAAUGUGCCUAAGCGCACACGGACCCUCAAGGCUGUGGUUACUGCUGCCACCAUGUCCAACAAGUUCAACCCCAAGGCUGGACUCAGACCCAAUGGAGAAGCCAAGACCGAGCUGUGCGAAAGCCUCGAAACACAGUAAGCAUUACAGGAAUCACAAUUAUGUGUGUGAGAAUGAAGUCACAAAGGAAUGGAUUAGAAAGCAUAUUCUGGAGUCCAACAAUGGAACUAAGACGCCUGUAAAACAUUGAGAUCUGAUUGUGCCUUUCCAGAUGUGCAGGCUGCCAAUUCCAUAGGCACCUCCAUACUUUCAGAGAUGCAGGUUUUUGAACUGAGUGCUAAUAACAAGCCAGAUGGUCCCUCUCCACUUUAGUCCAGCGCAUAUGUCCAUGUUUUUACAUUUUUGAAAUUCUUUAUUAUAUCUUUUUAUUCAUCUUACCAAAGAACAGUUUUCCAUUUUGCCUCAGUCCCGAUGAGCUGUGGCCCAGAGAAGACAACGGUUUUUCUGGAUCAUUUUCACAUAUGGUUUCUUCUAAUCAUCAUACUGUAGAAAUUUAACCUUCAUUUGUGGAUGGCACAGCAAAUUGUGUUCAUAGCCCUGACCUGUGUCCCUUUAUUCAGAUUCUCAAAAUCAUUUUGUGAUAUGAUUUAAAAUGUACUAUAGGUGUUGAGUUAGUCAAAGUCUUUAUUCUGAAAGCCAUUAUUCUAUAAUAAUGAAUAAUGAAGUAAUUAUUCUGAAAAUUGUUCUACAAUUUGUAGAUUUUUUUUCUGAGAAACACUGUCUCUCUAAAGUGCUCUUUUUUUAUAGCCAGUCAUGUUACUGACUUGUUGCCAGUUAACCCAAUCAAUCGCAAAAUAUCCCUGCAGUAGUUCUCGUAGUUAUCCCUGUUCAAACUUUGAGACAUGUUACUGCCAACUAAUUGAAAAUGAGCUAAUUCGUGAAAUAUUAAAAUGUCUCAGUGUAAACUUUGUGUUUUUUAUUUCUAUCUGUUUGAAUUCUGCUUUAUUUAUAUUUUAUAUAGCGUUCCAGUUCUUGUGUGGAAUUGGGUUUCUAAUAAUUUUCAGUUUAUCUCUGACUUAAACUGUUGAUUUUUGUCGUGCAACCAUUGGUUACAAUUCAUUAUAAUGCAAAUAUUUACUUGCUCUAUCCUGUAAAAUGAAGCUUUCAGAUUGGGAAACCUAUCUGCAUUCAUUACUGUUUACUGACAUGCUAUAUAUAAACGGAAACAAUAUUCAAUAGAUAAAUAUUUGAAUCACUAAUCGAAGUCUAGUAUUUGCACACAUUAUUAAAAAAAACAAGAAAGGUGUGACUCUCUUUUCUAAAGCAGCUGAAUCAUUGUGUAUGCCUCCUAAUCUCAAUACCAACAAAAAUGCUUGGCACUCCUGUGUCAGUGACACACUGUGGAUUUAUAUUAGUGAGGUAAAUAAUGACCUCAGCAACUGAGUCAGCAGAAAUUACUCAAGUGGCGUUCAAAACACUCUUCUUGCCUUAAGCAGGGAAAGGUUUUUAUCAGUCUGUCAGCCGGGAUGUGUUCCCACAGUGUGGCUUGAACUUAUAAGGAACCUUUUGUCAGACAUUUUAAGCCCCCCACACCCACACCCACUUUUAAACCACAAGUAUUGACAGCUGUUUCCUUUCAUAGGAGAAUAAAAUAGCUGACAUUAUAUUUACUGUUAGCACAAAACCAGAAAUCAAUGUAAAACUUAUCACAAUGCUCUGCAGUAACAAUAGCACAAUGGUGUGAGGCCAGUCACGAAAACUACAUGUAUCCAAACAGAGCAGCAUUAAUUCCAUUCUUGCUUCAUGUUUGUGUGGAUGGUUAAAAGGGCCUUUUGUUAAAAUAAGUGUCGAGAAGGCAGAGACGCUGAAUUGAUAGCCAGCAGCAAAUUAUCCUGAUGGGGUUACCGUUUACAGGGGCUAUACAGUGUAUGGCUAUUUGAAUGAGCGCCAUUUGUCAUUGUCAACGCCAGUGUGGAUAUAUGGCUUGAUGAAAUUGAAAAAUUCCUGUCUGGGCCAGCUCCCCCCAAUGCUGAGAUCUAGUGGCGAUAUGUCAGGAUUUAUCUGCUCCCACUCAGAGAAUCAGCUAACACGGUCCGGGGAGACAGCUGGAAAGUUAACUCCUGAUAGCUGUGAGGAAAAAAAAAUGGUGGUGGUGGCUAAAGGUAAUAGCUACAUUUGGCACAUGCUGAGGGGAAAAACAUGACCUGAGAACUAGGAAUAUCAUAACCAAUCAGGAAUUAAACACAUUUUUUUCAGCCCUGUGUAGCAGUUCCUUACUCUUGUUACUACAGGAAGAGAGCUAAACAAAAAGAGCUUCAUGCCCAAAUCAGCUCCCUUUCUUAAGUUACAAAGUUUACCUCAACUGUAUCUAACUCUGACUC
This is an RNA transcript of Oreochromis niloticus (Nile tilapia), 5877 nucleotides long. It is a transcript of the gene named metabotropic glutamate receptor 4, with no coding region annotated. NCBI's taxonomy places the organism in Eukaryota, Metazoa, Chordata, Actinopteri, Cichliformes, Cichlidae. The record is from RefSeq and is a predicted model, not a curated record. The transcript has 12 exons.